Scleropages formosus (Asian bonytongue) is the source of this 1552-nucleotide long non-coding RNA. The record is from Ensembl. Lineage: Eukaryota; Metazoa; Chordata; Actinopteri; Osteoglossiformes; Osteoglossidae.
CUCCACUGCAGAUGACAUUAUGCCAUCUGGUGUUUCUUCCUUCCUCAUUGACUGCAUGGAUUCCAGUUCACAGACUGAUUCUUGCGAGGCCCCAAGCAGUAACUACCCCUCACCGGAAGUGUUUCGAACUGCAGAUGCAUAUGAGGAAGCAAUGGAUUUUUCUUUCGAAGAAGAUUUGCAAGUGAAAAACUCAACUCUCCUUGAUGUUAGUCAUGCAGUUGACAUCAAUAUGAGACAGCCACCCAAUCUCUCUGCAAUCCUGGGUAAUUUCAACAUUACCAUCUUUCAUAACUCAUGUACAAUGACAAAAGAAACCAUGUUUUUAUUAUGUAUAUCAUGAAGUUAUAUUUGUCUGUCUAAUACAUAACAUCUUCAGACUUUUUACUUCUGUAGAUCAGCCAUAGUUGAUUUUAAAUAAUUGUCAAUAUUGGGGAAUACUUGAAGAGAUGCUGGUGCACAUAAAGCAUGUGUAAUUUAGAUUAAUGGGAAUCUGUGCUUACUUUGUAUUUAAAUUGUGAAUAAAUGCUGUAUAAUCUCCCUGCAGGGACUUCAAGAAAGCCUGUGGAGAAGGACCCUGAAAAAAUCAUGGGAAAUGUAAGCAAUUCCUUCACUGUGUGUAAAACCCCAAAAUCAGGUAUUUGCCAUGUUUUCUGAUCACUAUGCAGUGUUUGUAUGUAAGGAACACUUUUGUUGCAUUUACAAAACAAGUAAAAUGUGAUAUUAUAGAAAAAACAACUUUAAGAAGUUUUUCAGAAAGAAAGUGUCAGACUGGAAAAGAUUUCAUCCCAUUAAGUCAGCUUCCAAAGAAAUUUAGACCUGUGAAAUGCCAAAAAAAAUUGUUACAGCCAGUAGUUACGGCAGCACAAGGGGAGGGAGUGAAGGCAUCUUGUGAAACAGAGCUGACUACACAGCCUGUGUGUGAACCUCUGAGCACUCUUGAAGAGUUGAACUCUGAGGUUCAGUCCAAGGAAGACCUGAAGAACAAACUUUGUAAAGUACAGCUGGAGAAGAAUGAAAGUGAAAACAUACCUGCAGGGGACCCCAAGUCCCUAAAGAGACAUGAACCCCAAAACAAGGCUAGGCUCUUCAUUUUUGCAGAUGAAGUAGAGAAGAAGUCUGUCCUUCAGAGAAAGGAAGGAAAACACCCCUCUUUGUUCCCAUCUCAACCACUCAGUUUGAAGAAUAUGCCAUCAGAGGAAAUUACCCCAGUGUUUCUAAAGUUCAAGGGCUCAGAAAUGCAUGAUCCCGAGAAGCUAUAUGAGGUGUGCUGGAUGCAGCUACUCCACGUCGGAAAGGCAUUCUUCAGCAGCUCGCGGUUUAAAAGGAUUGUCACAGAUGAGGGUGAGACCAAUGUCACAUGCUACAACAGUGAAUAGCUGAAGUGUGUGUCUCGUGAAUGUUUGUCGCAUAAGUCAUCUUGCAGAAUAGCAAAAACUUUUUGUCUCCGGUACACAAUGCUUACUACUUUCUGGGUCAGGGCUGCAUUAAGAUGAGCAAAGAUAGAAAAUAAGCAAUGGUAAUUUAGGGGUACUCAUUUAAUACUUGUAAAAUC